This 460-nucleotide ribosomal RNA is filed under the name uncultured bacterium. RNAcentral describes it as "partial 16S ribosomal RNA". It matches the Rfam family "Bacterial small subunit ribosomal RNA", at positions 338 to 795 of the family's 1533-position model. The record is from RNAcentral.
CCUACGGUAGGCAGCAGUGAGGAAUAUUGGUCAAUGGACGAGAGUCUGAACCAGCCAAGUAGCGUGACGGAUGACUGCCCUAUGGGUUGUAAACUUCUUUUAUAAAGGAAUAAAACGAGGCACGUGUGCCUUUUUGCAUGUACUUUAUGAAUAAGGAUCGGCUAACUCCGUGCCAGCAGCCGCGGUAAUACGGAGGAUCCGAGCGUUAUCCGGAUUUAUUGGGUUUAAAGGGAGAGUAGAUGGGUUGUUAAGUCAGUUGUGAAAGUUUGCGGCUCAACCGUAAAAUUGCAAUUGAUACUGGCAGUCUUGAGUACAGUUGAGGUAGGCGGAAUUCGUGGUGUAGCGGUGAAAUGCUUAGAUAUCACGAAGAACCCCGAUUGCGAAGGCAGCUUACUAAACUGUGACUGACAUUGAUGCUCGAAAGUGUGGGUAUCAAACAGGAUUAGAUACCCCUGUAGUC